GAACGGGGCGGUCUCGAAAACCGUUGUGGGCGCAAGUCCACCGAGGGUUCGAAUCCCUCUCUCUCCGCCA
Molecule: transfer RNA, 70 nt
Filed under: Alphaproteobacteria bacterium
Lineage: Bacteria; Pseudomonadati; Pseudomonadota; Alphaproteobacteria
Description: tRNA-OTHER
Rfam family: tRNA
About the family: Transfer RNA (tRNA) molecules are approximately 80 nucleotides in length. Their secondary structure includes four short double-helical elements and three loops (D, anti-codon, and T loops).
Source: RNAcentral